GGGGAUUUGGCUCAGUGGUAGAGCGCUUGCCUAGCAAGCGCGAGGCCCUGGGUUCAGUCCCCAGCUCCG
Molecule: transfer RNA, 69 nt
Filed under: Rattus norvegicus (Norway rat)
Lineage: Eukaryota; Metazoa; Chordata; Mammalia; Rodentia; Muridae
Rfam family: tRNA
About the family: Transfer RNA (tRNA) molecules are approximately 80 nucleotides in length. Their secondary structure includes four short double-helical elements and three loops (D, anti-codon, and T loops).
Source: Rfam by way of RNAcentral